AAAGACUUGUUGAAAUCUUGUCCCAAAUGGGAUAGGAACCCACAACCAAUGCUUUGAGGCAGUAUAUGGCUUGUAUAAAGUUAUUUUGGGUUAGAAUAUGUUAAAAUACAAUGAAUUUGAUUGAUUACAAGUGCUAGAGAUGGAUGAAUAAUGUUUAGAAGUGAGAAGAAAGACUUGUUGAUAUUUGGUCCCAAAUGGGAUAAGAACCUAAAACCAUUGCUUUGAGGCAGUGAAUAGCUUGGAUAAAGUUAUUUUGGGUUAGAAUAUGUUAUAAUACAAUGAAUUUCAUUGAUUACAAGUGCUAGAGAUGCAUG
Molecule: long non-coding RNA, 314 nt
Filed under: Capsella rubella
Lineage: Eukaryota; Viridiplantae; Streptophyta; Magnoliopsida; Brassicales; Brassicaceae
Description: long non-coding RNA (CRUB_LNC000433)
Source: RNAcentral